This 477-nucleotide ribosomal RNA is filed under the name uncultured bacterium. RNAcentral's name for it is "partial 16S ribosomal RNA". It matches the Rfam family "Bacterial small subunit ribosomal RNA", at positions 28 to 507 of the family's 1533-position model. The record is from RNAcentral.
GAUGAACGCUGGCGGCGUGCCUAAUACAUGCAAGUCGAGCGAACAGACGAGGAGCUUGCUCCUCUGACGUUAGCGGCGGACGGGUGAGUAACACGUGGAUAACCUACCUAUAAGACUGGGAUAACUUCGGGAAACCGGAGCUAAUACCGGAUAAUAUAUUGAACCGCAUGGUUCAAUAGUGAAAGACGGUUUUGCUGUCACUUAUAGAUGGAUCCGCGCCGCAUUAGCUAGUUGGUAAGGUAACGGCUUACCAAGGCAACGAUGCGUAGCCGACCUGAGAGGUGGGACAGGGACAUGGGGAAGGAGAGAGGGGCCAGACUCAUAGGGGAGGCAGCAGGGGGAAAGAUGGCGCAAGGGGCGGAAGCGAGAUGCAGCAACGUCGCGAGAGGGAUGACUGCUUGAGGGUUGUAAACAGCUUUGGACUGUGACAAAGCGUGAGUGACGGUAAUGUGUAAAGAAGCAACGGCUAACUACGUG